AUCAGAGGAAAAAUUGUCAGGUGGGUACUUUCUCACUUGCUGCAGGUAUAAGGAACAGGAAACGAGCCAAAGCACUCUGUGAAGCAAAACAUUACUUAUGAUGUCAUUCAUUCACACUGUCGUCUCUUCUCUUAGAAGCUGUUACUGAAGAUGAUCAGGGUAGACUGCAGUACAUCUCACCCAUCAAUGGGCAUUUCCUAUCAGGAGCAUCUUUAUUUUUUACCUGAAGCCUCUUGCCCCUCCAAACAGCUGGAGUCAGAUAAGGCCUGGCAAUAGCUGCAGGGAACCUCUCCUCUGGCAACUGAAGAUUUCAAGUAUCUGGGCCUGUCAUGAUGCUCACCAUCUAUGAGGCAGCCCCCAGCUGACACACAAGGCCAGUCAUUGAGUCCCCUUCUCUCAGGCUUUGGAAUUACAUGUCUAGGUAGGAACUGAGAUAAGAAACAUGU
Molecule: long non-coding RNA, 446 nt
Filed under: Fukomys damarensis (Damara mole-rat)
Lineage: Eukaryota; Metazoa; Chordata; Mammalia; Rodentia; Bathyergidae
Description: lncRNA (ENSFDAG00000023767.1)
Source: RNAcentral